RNAcentral lists this ribosomal RNA (493 nucleotides) under Robsonella campbelli. Its description in RNAcentral is "Octopus campbelli partial 16S ribosomal RNA". It matches the Rfam family "Bacterial large subunit ribosomal RNA", at positions 1926 to 2597 of the family's 2925-position model. Lineage: Eukaryota; Metazoa; Mollusca; Cephalopoda; Octopoda; Octopodidae. The record is from RNAcentral.
AACAGCUGCGGUAUUAUAACUGUACUAAGGUAGCAUAAUAAUUUGCCUUAUAAAUUAGGGCUAGAAUGAAUGGUUUGACGAAAAUUAAGCUGUCUCUGUUUUAUUUGUUAGAAAUUAAUUUUUAUAGUGAAAAAGCUUUAAUUGUUUAAAGGGACGAGAAGACCCUAUUGAGCUUAAUAUUAAUAUUUAAAUAUAGAACAAGUUUUUAAAAUUAAAUUAUUUGUUUAUUGUAUAAAUGUUUAUUUUUGGUUUAAUUUUGGUUGGGGUGAUCAAGGAAUAAAAGAAAAUAUAAUAACUUCCUUAAAUAUAUUUAAUUUUUAUUGGGUAAUAAACCAAAUUUUUUGCUUAUAAGAUAAGUUACCAUAGGGGUAACAGCGUAAUUUUUUUUGAGAGUUCAUAUUAAAAGAAGAGAUUGCGACCUCGAUGUUGGAUUAAAAAUAACCUUAAGGUGUAGAGGCUUUAUAGGGUGAAUCUGUUCGAUUUUUAAAAUUUU